GUGCCAGCAGCCGCGGUAAUACAGAGGGUGCGAGCGUUGUCCGGAAUCACUGGGCGUAAAGGGCGCGUAGGCGGCUUGGUAAGUAGGGGGUGAAAUCUCAUGGCUCAACUGUGAGGCUGCCUUCUAGACUGCUGAGCUGGAGCACAGUAGAGGCGAGUGGAAUUCCCGGUGUAGCGGUGGAAUGCGUAGAGAUCGGGAAGAACAUCGGUGGCGAAGGCGGCUCGCUGGGCUGUUGCUGACGCUGAGGCGCGAAAGCGUGGGGAGCAAACAGGAUUAGAUACCCGCGUAGUCC
Molecule: ribosomal RNA, 292 nt
Filed under: uncultured bacterium
Lineage: Bacteria
Description: partial 16S ribosomal RNA
Rfam family: Bacterial small subunit ribosomal RNA
Source: RNAcentral